UGCAACUUUUAAAUAUGCAUCUAAAGAUGUCCAUUGCUAAUUUUAUCAAGUGUAGGAUGGGCUGAGAAAAUCAACAAGCAUUUGGGUUGUACAGUCUUUUUUUUCAUGAAUAUGUUUUGGCUUCUGGGAUGAUUUACCGAGAGGACAUAUCAAGAUAAGUGUUGCAAUAUAUUUACAUUGACAAGAAAACACUGUCAAGAAAAUGACUUUUUUUAUGUAUGUGUCUAUAUAUACAAACACACAUAUAUAUACACUUAUAUCUAAGUAUAUAUACUUAAAAAAUACAUAUGCAUGAAAACAGUAAAACGUAUGUGCUGCUUUGAAUUGAUGACAUAUGUAAGGAUUAUACGUGUAUGCGUAUAAGGGGUGUGUGCGUGUCUAUGUAAAUAUAUAUUGUUUCUGAAAAGCUGCUUCUUACCUCUUAUUCUUACCUCAAUUCCCAGUAUGCCUCUUCCAUCUCAGUGUCUUAGUUUCUUGCCUCUUAACUUAAUUUUCUAUGUAUCAGCGAGUUCUGCAUCCCCGCAAAACAGUAGGCGAAGCAAUGAAGCUCCAUAAACACAACUGUUUCCUUUAUCCUGAUAGUUUAAAAAAUUAUCUCCUGCAGUAGACUGCCAGAUUGAGACUGGGGCCAUGCAAUUACAGCCUAAAAGAGCCCACUAAAUAACCAUGAAUAAACAAUUUUUUGAACGUACUAUGUAAAUUAUGUUUCCUCACCUCGACAAGUCCCUGCUCUGUUACUCUUUUUUUUUUUUAGAAAAGCUAUUUUUAACAGGUUUUAACUUCCUUUCAUUUGCCACUUCCCGGUAAGUCUAUGAAGUACACAAGAACACACAUAGGAGGAUUUUUCUGGGUUUCUAAUUCAGAUUUUGACAGGAAGUAAAGACGUAUGGUGUGGUUUGACUGCUAUUAAGUCUUAUUUUCUAGUAUUUUUUGGGAAGCAGAGAUCACCCAAGAUCUUGGUCCCUCACCAUCUAAAGCUUAGGAAAAGAGGAAAGGAAGUGCAGAUCACGAAGGGAAUCAACAAAUAGCGCUCUCUUAAUGUCUUGGCAAAAUGUUCUCUUAAUAACACGAUUGUUGAUAAAUUAUGAGAAUGGUUGGGGGGUGUGUGUGUGUGUGUCAUAUUUUAGACUUCCUGCUCCAAGGGGAGCUGGAAAUUCUCAUUUUGAAUGAAACAAAAACGUGUUAUGCAGUGUGGCUGGGGGCCGGUUUCUUGACCUCCGAUCAUGUUUGCUACUUUGCUACUGAUGCAGGACUGUGGGAUAUCUUUGCUAAGGUUUUGCCGUCAGUAUCUGUAGAGAUGUAAUCUUCCACUGAGACGGGAUUUUGCAAAUGACUCUGGAAAUAGAUUUAAAAUUAAAGGUAAUAUCAUUCUGAAAGUUCAAAUAUUAUGAGAGCUGCUCUUUAGAUGUGGCCAUAAAUUCAGUAUUCAAACCAGAGUUUCACACUGUUAUUGAUGUUUCUAGGUGAAUGAAUAUAAUAGCAAAAAAUAGGGAAUUAUUCAAAUUAUUUUAAGAUUGCUAAAUAUUUAUCCUAGAGACAAACUGGGCAUUAAACUGAAAGCUAAACACUUGAAAUGCACUGCUAGAUGUUGAAGCAAGUGUUGAAGCAGUUGGUUUGCCCACUUUUGCUAUCAUCUGCUAUUUUAGAAUCAUCCUGCUCUUUGGAAGAAUGGAUAUGAAGUAAAAUAGGAAUCAGCCGGAUAACUAAGAUCCACAGUAUUUUGUUAUUUGCUAUUCAGUGCUUUUGCUGCUUACCGGAGUGGAGAUCGACUAUACCCCUGAUUCAGAACAUCUGCAAACAGACAGUGUUGCUGCGGUAGAAUCCUGCCCCUGGGAUUACCUCUAGUAAAACUGAAGAGAUCGAGGUCAUCUGAAGAGCUUCCACUCUCUCUCUACCUCAGCUGGAAGAUAAAACUUGAUGGAUCCAUUGGGCGAAAGGAAAGCAAAACAGAGCCUGUUGGUGGAAGUCUCAGAUAUUGUGGUGAGCUGAUGGCCAGAAAAGCACGU
Long non-coding RNA from Grus americana (Whooping crane), 2006 nucleotides. RefSeq lists it as uncharacterized. The transcript is spliced from 3 exons. NCBI's taxonomy places the organism in Eukaryota, Metazoa, Chordata, Aves, Gruiformes, Gruidae. The record is from RefSeq and is a predicted model, not a curated record.